Neofelis nebulosa (Clouded leopard) is the source of this 7462-nucleotide long non-coding RNA. RefSeq lists it as uncharacterized. The transcript has 3 exons. Lineage: Eukaryota; Metazoa; Chordata; Mammalia; Carnivora; Felidae. The record is from RefSeq and is a predicted model, not a curated record.
AACAAAUGCUUUUGGGUAGAUAUGUUUUAGCAGCAUUAAUAUCAAACUGACUGUUCACAAAAGUUCUGCCACUUGAAUAUCACUUUAGCCAUUUUUUGCAAAACAAUAAAAAAAAAAAGAAAGAAAGAAAGAAUGAGAAAAAAGAGAAGGUGUGUGCUGUGUGCCAGGCUGCUGUGAUGCAAAUACCGUCAGUCGACAUAAAGUAAUGGCCAGAAUGAAAACCCCAAACACAUAUGGCUGGUAGAAUAUCUGUGGCUAAUAAUUAUUUUUAAGGUUUUUUUUUUUUUUUGAGAGAGAGAGCGCGCACAUGCAUAAAUAAAACAUUGAAAAAUAACAGUAAGUCCUUUUGAACUUACUUUGCUUAAGAAGUAGUGGACCAAAGGGAAACAUUCAAAUAUCAUCUGGAUUGAGUCUAAACCAAACUCAUAGUCCUUUUCAAUUUCUGCUCUGAGGAUCUGUGAGACUGAAGCAGGGUUCUCCACAUUUGCAGAGACAGAUGAAGGGUUUCUGGGUCGUGCCGUGAGCGUAACUGGUCAUCAGAGGAAGUGGUACAGUCUGUCCAUAGGCUAGAACACACAGAGCGAUCUCUACGUGUACUUUGUAUCUGGUGCCGCAAAGGCUUUAGGGAUAUGGGGUGAACAACACAGAAAUGCAUUCCACCCUCCUUGAGUUCACUGUCCAGUGAGAUGACCAUUAAACAAACAAGUACUUAGUCCCAAAGGAGAACAAAUGACUUCAGUAGUGAAUAACUGAAGAACCAAUCUUUGUCUCCAAGCUUCAAAUGAAACCUCCCGGAGGAUCCAGUGGAAUGCCAAAGGUGAAGGAGGAGUUGGUCCCCACCUCAGCCCUUCCCCGGAACUUCUGGCAAGAGGCAACCGAACACCAAAGGCUCAGAGGCAGACAUUCACAAAACUAUAGGAAGACCUCUGUGGCUAAAGAAUAAGUGAAGGAGAGGUGGAGAGCUAUGCUCUCUGGAGGAGCCUGAUCAAAACUGUGAAAGGAAGACCAGUCGUGUUCUCAAUUUCUUCACUUCCAGGGAAGAGAUCUGACACAAGUGUGCACUGGCCUGGAUCCGUCUCCUCUUGGUUAAGGAGCCAUCUCUACAGUCAUCCUCUGUCCUGGGCAGUGGCACGUGUGGAUUUUCUUAGCCCAGGCCAGCUGACCUCAGACACCAGCGUAUCUGCGGAGACCGACCCCAACCUGCUCUUGGCACGCGGAGAUGUUGACAACACCUCUUCUUCUGCUGCUGGAAGCAGAUACAGUCUGCAAACACCAUCACACCAUCAUGAGAAUUCUCUCGGCCUCUUCCCACACCACGGACCCGUCCACACAGCAUUACCAUCAGGCAGGCAAGCUGAGGCAGCAAGAGUCUGCUUAUGCUGACAGCCGACGCGUGGGUGGGUGGGCACCGUGCCCUAGAAGCAAGUACUAUUAAGGCUUAAGGAUGCAGGCUUGCAUUUAUAUAUUUGUAUAAGAUCAACCCCCCUCCUUCCUUUGUUCUGUCUCUGCGCUCCCUCAUUUCCCUUGAAUCUCUUUCGUGAUGGUGGUACAAUAGCACCUACUCCAGGGUGCUGUUAGGCAAGGAUUUCUCCUUCUUCCCCUUAGCAUUUCAUUGUUCCAUAGAUUUAGGUGUUCCUGUGCCCUGCUAGUCUGAGGACACCAGAAACUGUUCCCAUGGUCACUUCUACCAGUUCGUGUUUACUACAUAACAAAUUGCCCCUUGAUGGCUUAAAAUAACAACCAGUUUUUAGCUCACAACUCUGCCGUUUGGCCAUUUGGACUGAGUGCAUGUAGAUAGUUCUGGGUGGGGAUUAGCUGGUUGAAGGGCCUCAGUUGAAAUGGCUUAUCUCUACUUUGCACGGUUUCUCAUCUUCCAGCAGGCUAUCCCAGAAUGGUCACCUGGUGACUGCAGUUUUCCAAGAACAAAACAUCGGAAGUUGCAAGGCCUCUUCCCCCCCCCCCCCGGUUUUAUUGAGAAAUAAUUGGCAUAUAUCAUUAUAUAAGUUCAAGGUGUAGCACAUGAUGGUUUAAUUUACAUAUGUCAUGAAAUGAGCGCCACAACAGGUUGAGUUAAUAUCCAUCUUCUCAUAUAGAUACAAUAAAAAGAAAAAAAUUCUUACGACGAGUGUUCUUAGGAUUUACCAUCUUAACGAUUUUCCUAGAUAGCAUCCAGCAGCGUAGGUAAAGUCAUCAUGUACAUUACAUCCCUAGUGCUUAUUUAUCUUACUACUGGAGGUUUGUACCUUCUGACCACCAAUUCCCUCUCCCUUCCCUCUUGCCUCAAGCAGCUACAAGGCUUUUUCCAUAUCUCUUUUCUCACGAGUUUGAUUUUUAAAAAAUUUUUCAUUAGAGUCUACGUAUAAGUGAGAUCAUACAGGAUUUGUCUAUCUCUUAAUUCACUUAGCAUAAUUUCUUCAAAGUCCAUCCGUAUGUUGUAGAUGAUAAGACUUCCUUUUUUUAUGGCUUACUAACCUUCCAUUUUACACACACACACACACACACACACACACACACACACACGUAUGCGUGUGGGCCACCUCUUCUUCAUCCAUUCAUCCAUCAGUGGACACUUAGGUUAUUUCCAAGUCUUGGCUAUUGCAAAUAAUGCUGCUAUGAACAUGUCGAUGCAGAUAUAGUUUCAAAUUAGUGUUUUCAUUUCCUUUGGAUAUAUUCCCAGAAGUGGAAUUGCUGGAUCAUACAGUAGGUCUAUUUUUAAUUUUUUGAGGAAACUCCAUACUGGUUUCCAUAGUAGUUGCACCAAUUUCCAAUUCCACCAACAGUGCACAAGGGUUCCCUUUUCUCCACACCCUCACCAGCACUUGCUAUCUCUUGUCUUUUUGAUGAUGGUCAUUCCAUCAGGCAUGAGGUAAUGACUCAGUGUGGUUUUAAUUUGCAUUUCCCUAAUGACCAGUGAUAUUGAGCAUCUUUUUAUGUACCUGUUGGCUUUUUGUAGUUUUUCUAUGGAAAAAUGCCUCUUCAGGUCCUUUGACCAUUUUUUUAAGUUGGAUUAUUUGUAUUUUUAACUAUUGAGUUGUAGGAGUUCUUUGUGUAUUUUGGACAUUAGCCCCUUAUGUAGUUUGCAAAUAUUUCCCCCAUUCUGUAGGUUAUCUUUUCACUUUGUUGAUGGUUUCUUUUGCUGUGCAGAAGCUUUUGAUGCGGUCUCAAUUUAUUUUUGAUUUUGUUGCUUGUGCUUUAGGUGUGGUUUCCAAAAACUCACUACCAAGGCCCAUGUCAAAGAGUUUUGUUUCUGUUUUCUUUUAGGAGUUUCAAGGUGUCUGGUCUUAUGUUUAAGUCUUUAAUUCAUUUCGACUUAAUUUUUGUGAGCAGUGUGAGAUAGGGGUCUGGUUUCAUUUUGUUACAUGUGAAUAUCUAGUUUUCCUAACACCAUUUAUUAAAGAGACUAUCAUUUCUCCAUGCUCAGCACAGAGCCCGAUGCAGGGCUCGAUCCUAUGACCCUGCAAUCAUGACCUGAGCUGAAACCAAGAGUUGGAUGUUCAACUGACUGAGCCACCCAGGCACUUCUUGUCCCAAAUAUUUUAUGUAUUACUUAAGUUACACACGAGAAUAAUAAUCUCCUGACAUGUUGAAGGAUUCAUGAUUUUGAGUCAAAACACCUAAUUCAGGGUAUGUCUCCAGACCUCUUUUAACUAUAUGUAAGGCCAAGUAAUGGCAAGUAUUAUGAAAUCUUCAGCAUGGGGCUCAGCACAUAAAUGCUUAACAAAUGUUUGUUGAAUCUGAAUGAAAAGAUGGGAGCAAAAAUGCUAUAUAAAUCAGAGGAAAUUAGCCUGAAAACCUAUCCCAUUAAUUCUGUGUUUAUGAUCAACUUUUAUCAUGGAAAUUUGGAAUUUAAUAGGUGAGAAAAAAGAUUCGAUUUAACUUCCAUACUUGCAGUAUGGGCUGUUGGAUGGAACAGCAUCAUGUCCAUUGCUGUACGUAAUAGUUGGGAAUUAUAACGAAGGGCAGAAUGAAGAGGGUCCUUAAACUUUAGUUCACUAAGUCACCAACUGAAUUAAGAAAUCACGUAUCUUUACAAAUUCCAACAAUGUUCCUCAGCUAUUUCAAGCGGGACCUCGGAGAAGCACCUAAACGAACUAUUUUUUAAAAACCUCCUUUCUUUAGAAGUUGCAACACAAAUUGGCAAGAAGCAGAAAGUGACCUCUUAAUUUUGUUUCAUAGGCCCCAUAUUCAGUUUGGUCUGAUGCUCUUUCCAGUCCUGUUUCUCCAAAUUAAAAAUUGAUCAAUAGAAACAAUAAGAAUACAUUAGAGAAAUUUUUGCAGAUUCUUAGUCUAAAUAUAUUUUCCUAAGUCCUAUUUAGUAAGCAACUGCAAGAGUAGGCUGGCUAUUUACUUAAUGACCAUGAGAAGCCAUCCUGACCCUUCCCAGGAAGGUCAAAGAGCAGCUUGUUUUUUGGAUGCCUAAUUUAAUUGGACAAAGGAAAUUGCUUUCAUCAUUUUUGUUUUGCCCUUCCUAAUUGGAUUGAAUGUCAACUUUCCACGCGAUGUUCCCCAACAUACACUCAUGUUCCUAAUGCAACCAGAUUAGAUCAAUCUGCAUCUGUCUUCAUUGUACCCUGGGACUGCAUAAACUUUGAAUACAUAUUUAUUUUGUGGAUUUCAUUUCCAUGUUAAUUAGAAUUCAGGUUCCUGGAAUUUCCAUUCUGAGUAUGAUAAUCUUCUUAUAGUCAGCAUGAUAGAAACAGCUGCAUUCAUUUACUUUAUGAAAAAUGGUGUUUCUGGCUCAGAUGAUCAUUGGAUAUAUACUUUCUAGAUCAAAGAUUGUGCCUCCAUUCCUUCCUAUAGAUUUAUCAGAAUGUAUUAAUAUAUUGAGAACUUUCAAACUCAAUUUUAUGAGGUCACUGUGUUUUUUGGAAGACAAAGUGAACAACAAAAAUUAUUGGGAAAUGAUACUAAAAUGAUCUCAUUGCCUUUUCUUCUACUGUAAUCACUGCUCUCCAAGUAGACUUUUUAAAAAGAUUAACUAGUUUCUUAAUUAUAAAAGUUGUCUACUACUGUUAACGUUUUGAUGGCUUUCUUUUCAUAUACAUAUAGUAGAUUUUUGUAAAAUGUUAUUACUCUAAACAGAUAAAUAUGAUCUCUGUCCCAAAAUGUGUUUUUCAACAGCCAUCUUUCUAAUCUAAUCAAGAAUUUUUUAGACAACCAGGGUGCCUGGCUGGCUCAGUUGGUAGAGCACGUGACUUGAUCUCAGGGGAAUGAAUUCGAUCGAUCUCCAGGUUGGGCAUAGAGCUCAUUAUUAAAAGAAAAGUGAAAAACAAAACAAAAAAAAAAAGAAUUUAUUAGACAAUAAAAUAAAGGAGAUUAUUCAAUCCAACAUCAACAUGUGCUAAAGAUUUACUAUAUUACUAUGUCACCCGCCUUCCUCUUUGAUGGGGGAGAAGGGCACGAAAAUAAAUAAGACACAUCCUUGCUUUGAAAAAGUUUGUAAACUACAGAAAAAAAAACAUGGUAAAGUAAUUAUGUAAAUUAUGUAAAUUACAUAGUAAAGUAAUGAUAUCAACCAUUUACUGGGCACUAAGUAGGUACCAGUUACCUUUUAUUCCUCAGGACAUCUCUGAUGUGGGGACUAUCACACUCCUCAUCUUACAGAUGAGGAAACUGAGGCUGAGCGAUGUGGAGUAUUGUGCCCCAGACCGCACAGCCGGUUGGUGAUAGAACUGGGAGUUGAAUCCAGCAAUAGGGUUUCAGCCAGGCCCUUGAUCACUGCAUUCCACCAUAGGGGAGCACUUCAGUUAUAACAUGCCUUCCAUAUACUGGAAUAAAUAAAAUUCUCUCCGAGUCUUCUUGACGUGAAAUAUAGAUCCAAGUACUCUACAGGGUCUGUGCACGGUACCUCACUCUCAUUUUCUCAAGAGAAGGGACUAGAACAUUUAUCGUUGAGCCUGUCGGUCUAUAGAGGAGAUCCCAUCCUUGCAGUAAUGGAAAGGAUAAAAAAGUCAGAUGGCCUGGUAUUUCGCCACCCUCAGGAUCUGGGAUAAUUUUCCCUGGGCCUGUAGAGAGUGAGCGCAGGGCAGUUUUAUUGUUGGUCUGUGCCCAGGGCACACUCUGCCCCACCCUGGGCGCACGAUGGUUAAAGGAGAUAAGGAGUAAUGAGGCCCGCUAUUACAUAUAGGGCUCCCAAGGACCAUCUCUCUCAUAAGGUACCAUUGGCGCAGAGACCUGAGGCAAGUGAGAGAAGGAGCCACCCACUCUCUGGGGAGGAGGAUUCCAGCCAGCACCAAUGUUCCGAGGCUACCAUGUGGCUGGUGUGUUCAAGAAACAGCGAGAAGCCGGGUGGCUGAAGCAGAAGAAGAGAAGGGAAUGCAAGAGCUGAUGAGGUUAGACAAGCAGCGAGUCAGGACGUAGGGGAGGAACACAGGAAUGCUGGAGGCACCGAGUAUCUGUUUGUAUCACAUUCUUUCACGCAGGUGAUGGGAGCCCUGCCCGAUGAAAUUACACGGAAUUCCCUGUUGGAAAACUUUGCUUGAAUUAAAUAGCUCCCACUCAAUAGGACUCCGUUUUUCCAGCAUAGAAAUUGAGAAUAAUAAAGCCUGUCUCAUGGGGCAUUGUGCUUAUUAAAUGAAAUAAGAUAAUGUUUGUGAAAGUGCUUUGUCAUCUGUAAGGCACUGUGAUAAAGACUACUCUUGUUUUUGCUGUUAAGAGAAGUCGAUGGUUAAGUUGCUCAAGAAGCAAGGGAGUGGAGACAGUUCUAAGCUGAGUGCCCUGGAUCCUGUGGUCCUCUUCCUUAACUGUUCCCUCCGUUAAUUUCCAGUGUCUUUCCCAGUCUCCCCUUCAGCAGGAGGACUUGGUGAGCAAAGGCAGAUAAGCAAGCUUCUCAUCGGCAUGAUAAGAGGUGCAUAACCACCCCCAGUGAUAGCCAAGCCACACGGUGUUAAGAUCACCUUCGUUUGCAAAUUUGACCUGCAAAAUUACAGUGCGGUGCUCGUAGUGGGGGUGGGGGGCCUCAAUGAAGCUCAAGAUCGUUAUUUCCACAUCUAAUAUCAGCCUCUGGAAAACACAGUACAUCUGUAUAAUGACAAUGUCAAAGAUCCCCGUUUUUGUGUGUGACACCAGCACCCACACAGAACAGGAAUCACUCCAGAGUAGGAAGGUAGACAUCGUUCUCUGAGUGGUCAUGUCAGAUGGACAUAUCUGAGUGUUCAGCACAUAUCAGACCAGACUACCGUGACGUCAUUUGUUGCAAUUACUGAUAGAAGUCUGCCCAGGUCCAGCCCCAGCGGGUCCAGGGGUUCCCGAAGGAUGAACGGCGUGGGCGAGAAUGCAAACAGACACAGACAACAGCAGUGUGUUAGACUGGCCGCUUUAUUGUGGCAAACGUGGCAUUGUAUUUGUUAGCAAUUUCCUUGUAGAGGGCGUCAUCUAUGUUUCUCCGCAUUACCUAAUUCUAAAAAUGUUCCUUUGUGUAAUCACCCAUUAAGGAACAUCACGGUUAUUUCUUUGUAACGUU